Molecule: ribosomal RNA, 574 nt
Filed under: Trigonopterus dentipes
Lineage: Eukaryota; Metazoa; Arthropoda; Insecta; Coleoptera; Curculionidae
Description: SSU rRNA
Rfam family: Eukaryotic small subunit ribosomal RNA
Source: RNAcentral
UAUGCUUGUCUCAAAGAUUAAGCCAUGCAUGUCUCAGUACAAGCCAAAUUAAGGUGAAACCGCGAAAGGCUCAUUAAAUCAGUUAUGGUUCCUUAGAUCGUACCCACAAUUACUUGGAUAACUGUGGUAAUUCUAGAGCUAAUACAUGCAAACAGAGCUCCGACCGGAGACGGAAGGAGUGCUUUUAUUAGAUCAAAACCAAUCGGUGGCGGGUUCGCUCGUUAUCGUACAACUUGGUGACUCUGAAUAACUUUACGCUGAUCGCACGGUCAUCGCACCGGCGACGCAUCUUUCAAAUGUCUGCCUUAUCAACUGUCGAUGGUAGGUUCUGCGCCUACCAUGGUUGUAACGGGUAACGGGGAAUCAGGGUUYGRUUCCGGAGAGGGAGCCUGAGAAACGGCUACCACAUCCAAGGAAGGCAGCAGGCGCGCAAAUUACCCACUCCCGGCACGGGGAGGUAGUGACGAAAAAUAACGAUACGGGACUCAUCCGAGGCCCCGUAAUCGGAAUGAGUACACUCUAAACCCUUUAACGAGGAUCAAUUGGAGGGCAAGUCUGGUGCCAGCAGCCGCGG